This 5539-nucleotide long non-coding RNA is filed under the name Homo sapiens (human). RNAcentral describes it as "non-protein coding lnc-SNRPB2-2:6". Lineage: Eukaryota; Metazoa; Chordata; Mammalia; Primates; Hominidae. The record is from RNAcentral.
AGCCUCCGGGAUCUGCAAGUCUGGAAAGGCCACGUUGUGGACCUUGGCGCAGAGGUUAUGGGGGCGACCCGGAGCGGAUGGUUUCAGGAAAACUAGAACCCACCCUCAUGGCCUGAACAACUGGAGAGAAGAGGAUCGCAGCAAUUUAAAGCCAGCGGCAAGGAUCACAGUCCUGGGGUCAGGUGACCAAAGCCAGUUUUUCAGCCCUUAACAAGAACCUGGCUUCACCCAGCCAAACAUGAGUUAACGUAUCCAUUUUACACACGAACAAACUGAGGCGCAGAGAUGAUCACAGCUUGUUGGUGGCAAACUCCGCUAGGGCCUUCUCUGCUACCCUAAGGAGGUCCGACCGUAUGUUUUGGACCCCUUAACUCGGGAUACCGAUAAACGAAAAUUAAUAGGGUGUUGGAUGUUUUAAAUGUGUGCGGGAAUGUCAUUAUAUUGGCUAGAAUCAAACCUUAUUUAGACUUGUUUUGCACUUUUGUACACUUUAGUAAUUUUUAGUUUUAAUCAUAAGGGAGUUAAAGGCGAACACAACUGGUAUUUUUUUUUUUUUUUUUUUUUUUUUGAGACAGGGUCUCGCUCGGUCACCCAGGCUGGAGUGUAAUGCUGCGAUCUCGGCUCACUGCAACGUCCGCCUCCCGGGUUCAAGAGAUUCUCCUGCCUCAGCCUCCCGAAUAGCUGGGCGUGCCACCACGCCCGGCUGAUUUUUGUAUUUUUAGUAGAGACGGGGUUUCACCAUGUUGGCCAGGUUGGUCUCGAACUCCUGACCUCAAAUGAUCCGCCCGCCUUGGCCUCCCAGAAUGCUGGGAUUACAGGCGUGAGCCACCGCGCCAGGCCGACAACUGGUAUCUUAAGGCUUAGGGCCUCUGGUAGAAGUGAGCUCCACCUCCCUUCCUGUGUAGAAGGUAAAUGCAUUCAUUCAUUCAGUGAAUCGAGCAUGCAUGAAAUCGUUUGCGCACACCCAGAAGCCCACCUGCGAGCCACAGGAGCAGCCAUUCCAGGAAGCCAAGCUAUAAUGGGAGACGCAAGGAAUGGAGGCGGAACUCCUGUUUUUAAGUCCUAGCUCCAACACUAGCCUUGUCAGCCUGUAAUUCUGAAUUACUGGGCGCCUCUGAGGCUUCUUGUCUCAUCUGCAAAUCAGGAACAACGGCAUAGAGUGGUGAAUGCAUCAAGUGGGAUGAUGUCUGCAAGAAUCACCUGGCGGUCUUGUGAAACUGCAGCUUCUAAUGGGCAAGUCAGAGGGGAAGCCUGAGACAUGGCAUUUCCAGCACGUUCGGGGAGUGAAGAUGCUGUCGGCUGCCACCCUCCCUGCAAGGAGCCAGGGGAUAGAUGACCUCUACGCAAACUGUGAGAGCUUAAAAUAACUGAUAGUGAAAAACAGUUACAGAAGCUCUAGGCCGGGCACGGUGGCUAAUGCCUGUAAUCCCAGCACUUUGGGAGGCCGAGGAGGAUGGAUUGCCAGAACUCAGGAGUUUGAGACCAGCCUGGGCAACACGGUAAAACCCUGUCUCUACGACAAAAUAAAACAAACAAAAAUAAAAGCCACGCAUGGUGGCGUGUGCUUGUAGUCCCAGCUACUCAGGAGGCUCAGGUGGGACAAUCGCUUGAGCAUGGAAGGAGGAGGUUGCAGUGAGCCAAGAUCGCACCACUGUACUCCAACCUGAGUGACAGAGUGAGACCCAAUCUCAAAAAAAAAAAAAAGCAGUAAAUCCAGGGCCCAAAAGCUCCCCUCAAUGGGAAGUAGAAUCUCUUUCUCCACCUCUUCAAUAUGGCUGGCCCUGGAACUUCCCUUGGCACACAGAAUGCAGCAGAAUUGGCUUCAUGUUGUUUCUAAGCCUUGGCCUCAGAGGCCUUGCAUGCUUCCUAACCCUGGCUCUAGGAAACUUGCUGCUGUCAUGUAAGCAAGCCCAGGCUAACCUACUGAAUGUUGGUGUGUCCCAGUCAAAUCCAGCACUGCAACCAAUAGCCAGGCAGCCACCAGACAUGUGAGUGGGGCCACCUCACACCAGCCAACCUCCACCAAGUCAUCAGAUGUAUGAGUGAGAACAGCCCAGAACAACUGAGCCCGUCCAGACCAGCGGAACAACCAAGCUGACCAGUAGACUUAGGAGCAGUAAACAGAUGAUUGUUAUGGAAGCCAUUCUGUUUAGGGUGUGUGUGUUAUUGCUUGCAUCCAAAUACAUCCUAUCUCAUCUAAUGAGAAAAGGCCCUGCUCAAGGGCUUUUGCAGCUGUAGUUGGGCGCCGGAAGUGUCUUUGUGGUCAUUUCUUACUCCAUACACGGGGAGAUCAAGGCUCAGACCAGGUAGUGUGACUGUGGACAACACUUUCCUUACCCCUCUGUGACACUUAAAUCAAUGAAGCAGAUUCACAGAAGCAUGCAUGCUCACUGAACACAGUAUUUGCAUUCCUACCUCCAAACCUUUGCUCCACCCAUGCAUCCAGUAAGAAUGCCUACUUCCCUCCUCUCCUCCAUCGAGUUCUUUCUUUGAGUUCUACCUUCCCUAGUCUUCCUCCACUGCACCAACCCACGGUGAUCCCUGUCUCUUCCAAAUGCUUUGUAACAUGGUAGGCAUCACUCACUUGUGACUCAUUGGACCAUUUUAAAACUUGGUUUUCUGUGUCUCUUUUCCAACAAAAUUACAAAUUCUUUGAGGGUAAAAGUCAGGCCUAAUAGUUCUCUGUACUCCUAGUAGUGCCAGUGUGGUAAAAAUUUAACUUGACAAUUAGCAAAACCAAUAAAUUCCUUACACUAUUCUGUUCCUGUAGGUAAUCAGUAUAUGAAUAUGGAUUCCUAUGUGAUGAUUUUCUGGUCUAUUUUGUCCCUUUUUUUUUUUUGUUACUUUAACCAGGCCAUAACAUAAAGGUUAUGCCAUUUGUUACUGUCAAGCUUAAUUAAGCCCAUUAUAAUUCGUUAACCCCUGUGCUUGCUUUGUAAUUAACAUUGAUUAACACAAACAAGUACAAAAUAGGCCAUCAGCACUUUCCAGAAGUGCUGAUUACAAUUACAUUGGUAAUUCAAUACGGUAUAGAAGAUGGCAGGAUAGUAACUUGCACUCUGUUUACAUAAGGAGACAAAUGCUACCAUGCAAAACUAAGCCAAGAAACAAAAUACUUUCCUCAUCCAACUCACUGAUUAAACCCUUACCCUGUUAACUCACCCUAUGACUGUGUAAACCUCCAGUAAGAUUAUUGAAGGCACAGCUCCAAGUAACUUGCUUAAUUGCAUUCCUGGGACAAAAGAGGGAAGCGCUUCAAAGCUGACAGACAGAUGGUAGAGUGUCCAGUCACAGCAAAGCAGGCCCCGAGGCUCAUGACAGACAACUCCAGGGCUGAGAUCUCAUUUGUAGCUCUGGGAUAAAGUCCAGGGUUUGAUGGCAGCAGGCUGAAGUGUAAAGAUGCUCAACAAUGCGCACCCCAGAGACACUGAAUCUGAAAAAGCUUAGAGUGAAUAAAAAUCUGGAAAUGAACUCUGUCUGUCUAUUCACCAUUCCCCCCAUAAAAAAAUUCCUAUAUUCCGGAUGGUGUUCAAGUUCCCUUUCCACAGGACCUCAGCAGUCAGGGAGGUGCUCCUGCAAUCUAUGUGAAGGAGAUUUCACCAUGCCCACAUGGGAAUACAGUAGAUUGCCAGUAGGGAUGCCACACCUUUGCAUUUCCUCGUAUUUCCAGGAACAAAGCUGGGGUGCCUAGGAGCUGCAGCAGUUUUUCUUCUGUGUAAAAUAAGCAAGCAGGACUCUGCCCCACUGCACUCCAGGGAAGGAUUAAGAGAAUUGAUAUCAUCCAAAUCAAUUGGCCCUGUGCAGAUGACUUGAUAAUGAGGCCAUUGAGUUUUUAUGGUUCACUAUUAUUGCUACAAAAAUUAUGCUGCAGAAAUCAUUCAAAUGCUCAAAAAGGAGCAUUAGUACGAAACUGGGUGUUCCAAAGUUGUUGCUGAGAGGUGUGUAAUGUUCCUGAAGAUCCCCAAGGCACUAAGACUUCUCUGUACAUGAAUGACUCAUAGAGAAGAAAUACACCAGAUGAAAAUAUAUGGAGAAGUUUGCCGAAUGUCAUAUAACUUGUAAGUAUUAGAGCCGAGGUCUGAACCCUGAUAUCUGUGUCCUUAUAGCUCAGGCCUUUUCCUUCAGCCCCUCCUUCUCAGCAGAGAUGUGUUGGAGAAAUCACUAGAAAUGGAAGAGCAGCUGUCAGAAGCAGAAUUGAAUGAAGUGAUAGGGGAAAAACAUACAUGUUGAUACAAAUGGUCAGCCUUAAGCAAGACUGUGACAUUGAUGCAGCACAGGGAAGCCUCAAAAUUGGGACUUAGCCCAGGAGGGUUCUUGGCUUCACCCAGGAAAGAAUUCAAGGGUGAGCUGGUGGUGUUAGAAUGCAACUAUUACUGAAGUGGCAGUGUACGGCAGUAGCAGAGGCACUGCUUGCGGAGCAGGGAUACCCCAGAGGCACUGUGCCCAGAGUAGCAGCUCAGAGGCAGUUCUGCACUCAUAUUUAUAUCCACUUUUAAUUAUAUGCAAAUUAAGGGGUGGUUUAUGCAGAAAUGUCUAGGAAAGUGUGGUAACUUCUGGGUUGUUGGGUUGUUGCCAUGGAAAGGGGUGAUAACUUCUGGAUGUUGCCAUGGCACACUGAUGGGUGUGCCUUAUGGAAAGCUGGUCCUCAAUUUGGUCCAGUGUCCCAGCCCCACACUGGAGUUGAGUCCUGCCUUCUACCUCAACUUUGGUGACAUUUGUCUUUGGUGGCCAUAGCCUUUCUUUCUGCCAUUAUCAAGCACCAUACCCAAGGUCUCAUAUCCAUCCCAACAGGGUUGUAGACAGUCAUUUGAUCCUUUUCCUCAGCAUCCUAUUUUCUCUCCCUCAUACACACACACACACACACACACACACACACACUCUCUCUCUCUCUCUCUCUCUCUCUCUCUCUCUCUCUGUUGUUGCUAGUAUAAGGUACAACCAGACUUUUUUUAUCAUUUAUUUUUUAAAAUAAGAUGUGAAAUACAUUCAAUGGUGCAUAUAAAGUGUACAAAUAUUAAAUGUUCAACUGGAUGAAUUAUUUCAUAUGUAUAUACCCAUGUAACCACCACAGAUUCAGAAUGUUUCUACCUUCCUAGAAAGCUCCCUGGAAGUACAGGCUUUUUAUUUUAAAGUCAGGUGUAUUGGGAUAUCAGUUUCAUAUAGUUAUAUUCAGAGUUCUUAGUGUACAGUUUUAUGAGUUUUAACAAAUACAUACAUUUGUGUAGCUACCAAUAUAGUCAAAAUAUAGAACAGUAUCAUCACCCCAGAAAUGUCCCUGCACCCCUUUGUAGUAAAUCUCUCCUAGCCCCUGCCAACCACUAAUCUGCUUUCUGUUCCUACAGUUUGUCUUUUAUAGGAUGUCAUAUAAAUGGAAUCAUAUAUUUUGUGUCUGACUUCUUUCACUUAGUAUAAUACAUUUGAGAUUCAUCCAUGUUUCAAUAGUUCCUUUUAUUACUGAGUAGUAUUUAAUUUACCGCGGUCUGUAUGUCCAUUCACAAGUUAAAGGACAUUUGGGUGUUUCCAACUUUUGACAAUUAUG